GGGCCUACGGGGGGCAGCAGUGAGGAAUAUUGGUCAAUGGCCGAGAGGCUGAACCAGCCAAGUCGCGUGAGGGAUGACGGCCCUACGGGUUGUAAACCUCUUUUGUCAGGGAGCAAGACCCGCCACGAGUGGCGGAGCGAGAGUACCCGAAGAAAAAGCAUCGGCUAACUCCGUGCCAGCAGCCGCGGUAAUACGGAGGGUGCGAGCGUUAUCCGGAUUUAUUGGGUUUAAAGGGUGCGCAGGCGGACCAUCAAGUCAGCGGUAAAAAUGCGGAGCUCAACUCCGUCGAGCCGUUGAAACUGCCG
This 305-nucleotide ribosomal RNA is filed under the name uncultured bacterium. Its description in RNAcentral is "bacterial SSU rRNA". It matches the Rfam family "Bacterial small subunit ribosomal RNA", at positions 335 to 638 of the family's 1533-position model. The record is from RNAcentral.